CGGGCUGAAAAACCAUCCACAUCCGUCUGCACCAAGCAGUCCUGGAAUCAGUGUUCACCCGGCCGCAGACUUGCCGUGGCUUUCUGGAACACCGCUGGCCAGUUCAGCACUGUUCAUCUCGUAUGUCAAACUCACUCAGGCUGUCAGCCUGAGUGCCCCACAGGCCAUCAAAAAGAGGUACCAAACUCCAUUAUAACGUCUCUUAGCACUUUCUGCACUUCCACGCCAUGCCAGUGGGAUACCUGGCUGUGCGAAAGAGGACUGCAAAUGGGAUUAGAGACAUAACAUCAUCUUGCCUCUCCCUCCAGCCGGGCGAGGGAGAAGGAAGGUCAUGCCAAGCAAUCAGUCACGUUCUUUGAUUUUCUCAGAGGGCUUGUACCUGGCCUGUUGCCCCUUAAGUUCCACUUUGAUGGAUGAACCAACACUCCCCAAGCUAGGACUGCCACCUGGGGCCCCUCAGCUCAGGUAACUGGGGAAACUGAGUCAUGGUGAUGUGAUUCAGAGCACCUCUAUGCACAAGCAAGGUUCUGUCAUCUUCUUCCAGGCUGGCAGAAAAAAAAAAAUGUCUCAGCAGUUUAUAAAAGAAGAAAUAAAUAAACGGCAUGAUUUGAGUCAUCAGCCUUGCCUGUCUGAGUUCACCAGAGAAUUGACGACUCAGAGCUUCGCUUCAUGCAAUUUGGACCUUGCCCGAAACCUUCCAACUGUCCCAAGCAGCAAAGAAUAGGCCCUCUGCUAA
This 736-nucleotide long non-coding RNA is filed under the name Homo sapiens (human). Its description in RNAcentral is "HSALNT0168707". The record is from RNAcentral. Lineage: Eukaryota; Metazoa; Chordata; Mammalia; Primates; Hominidae.